GACGAACCGUCCUAACGUUGUUCGGAAUCACUGGGCUUAAAGGGCGCGUAGGCGGGUCACCAAGUCCGGGGUGAAAUCUUUCGGCUUAACCGGAAAACUGCCUUGGAUACUGGUGACCUCGAGGGAGGUAGGGGUCUGUGGAACUUCUGGUGGAGCGGUGAAAUGCGUUGAUAUCAGAAGGAACGCCGGUGGCGAAAGCGACGGACUGGACCUCCACUGACGCUGAGGCGCGAAAGCUAGGGGAGCAAACGGG
RNAcentral lists this ribosomal RNA (253 nucleotides) under uncultured bacterium. Its description in RNAcentral is "partial 16S ribosomal RNA". It matches the Rfam family "Bacterial small subunit ribosomal RNA", at positions 524 to 776 of the family's 1533-position model. The record is from RNAcentral.